This 256-nucleotide ribosomal RNA is filed under the name uncultured bacterium. Its description in RNAcentral is "partial 16S ribosomal RNA". It matches the Rfam family "Bacterial small subunit ribosomal RNA", at positions 524 to 776 of the family's 1533-position model. The record is from RNAcentral.
GACGAACCGUGCGAACGUUAUUCGGAAUCACUGGGCUUAAAGCGCGUGUAGGCGGGGUGGCACGUCCGUCGCUGAAAUCCCCCGGCUCAACCGGGGAACGGGCGCGGAUACGACCAUCCUCGAGGGACGUAGGGGGACCUGGAACUUCCGGUGGAGCGGUGAAAUGCGUUGAGAUCGGAAGGAACGCCCGUGGCGAAGGCACUCUACUGGGCCACUACUGACACUGGAGAGACGAAAAGCUAGGGGAGCAAAUGGG